CAGGCCGCGGUAAUACGUAGGUGGCAAGCGUUGUCCGGAAUUAUUGGGCGUAAAGCGCGCGCAGGCGGCUUCUUAAGUCCAUCUUAAAAGUGCGGGGCUUAACCCCGUGAUGGGAUGGAAACUGAGAGGCUGGAGUAUCGGAGAGGAAAGUGGAAUUCCUAGUGUAGCGGUGAAAUGCGUAGAGAUUAGGAAGAACACCGGUGGCGAAGGCGACUUUCUGGACGACAACUGACGCUGAGGCGCGAAAGCGUGGGGAGCAA
RNAcentral lists this ribosomal RNA (260 nucleotides) under uncultured bacterium. RNAcentral describes it as "partial 16S ribosomal RNA". It matches the Rfam family "Bacterial small subunit ribosomal RNA", at positions 512 to 771 of the family's 1533-position model. The record is from RNAcentral.